AGGGCUGUAGCUCAGUGGUAGAGCACUCGUCUCACAUAUGUGAGGCCCUGGGUUUGAACCUCAGCAACACAU
RNAcentral lists this transfer RNA (72 nucleotides) under Marmota marmota marmota (Alpine marmot). It matches the Rfam family "tRNA". From Rfam's summary of the family: Transfer RNA (tRNA) molecules are approximately 80 nucleotides in length. Lineage: Eukaryota; Metazoa; Chordata; Mammalia; Rodentia; Sciuridae. RNAcentral also lists the same sequence under 1 other name. The record is from Rfam by way of RNAcentral.